This 450-nucleotide ribosomal RNA is filed under the name uncultured bacterium. RNAcentral's name for it is "partial 16S ribosomal RNA". It matches the Rfam family "Bacterial small subunit ribosomal RNA", at positions 338 to 795 of the family's 1533-position model. The record is from RNAcentral.
CCUACGGGUGGCUGCAGUGGGGAAUUUUGCGCAAUGGGCGAAAGCCUGACGCAGCAACGCCGCGUGGGUGAUGAAGGUCUUCGGAUCGUAAAACCCUGUCGUUGGGGACGAAGGUGGGGGCGUUAAUAGCGUUUCUGCUUGACGGUACCCGGAGAGGAAGCCCCGGCUAACUCUGUGCCAGCAGCCGCGGUAAUACAGAGGGGGCAAGGGUGGCUCGGAAUUAUCGGGCGCAAAGGGUGAGUUGAGAUGUGUAAUCCCCGAGCUCAACUUGGGAACUGCAUCUGAGACUGGAAGGCUAGAGUACUGGAGAGGGUGGUGGAAUUCCUCGUGUAGCGGUGAAAUGCGUAGAGAUGAGGAGGAACACCAGUGGCGAAGGCGGCCACCUGGACAGUAACUGACGCUGAGGCGCGAAAGUGUGGGUAGCAAACAGGAUUAGAUACCCCAGUAGUC